UACGGAGGGGGCUAGCGUUGUUCGGAAUUACUGGGCGUAAAGCGCACGUAGGCGGCUUUGUAAGUUAGAGGUGAAAGCCCAGGGCUUAACCCUGGAAUUGCCUUUAAGACUGCAUCGCUAGAAUCGUGGAGAGGUGAGUGGAAUUCCGAGUGUAGAGGUGAAAUUCGUAGAUAUUCGGAAGAACACCAGUGGCGAAGGCGACUCACUGGACACGUAUUGACGCUGAGGUGCGAAAGCGUGGGGAGCGAACAGG
This 253-nucleotide ribosomal RNA is filed under the name uncultured bacterium. Its description in RNAcentral is "partial 16S ribosomal RNA". It matches the Rfam family "Bacterial small subunit ribosomal RNA", at positions 524 to 776 of the family's 1533-position model. The record is from RNAcentral.